This 469-nucleotide ribosomal RNA is filed under the name uncultured bacterium. Its description in RNAcentral is "partial 16S ribosomal RNA". It matches the Rfam family "Bacterial small subunit ribosomal RNA", at positions 28 to 507 of the family's 1533-position model. The record is from RNAcentral.
GACGAACGCUGGCGGCGUGCUUAACACAUGCAAGUCGAACGGAAAGGCCCUGCUUGCAGGGUGCUCGAGUGGCGAACGGGUGAGUAACACGUGGGUGAUCUGCCCCUUACUUUGGGAUAAGCCUGGGAAACUGGGUCUAAUACUGGAUAGGACCAUGCUGUAGGUGGUGUGGUGGAAAGAUUAGUUUCGGUAAGGGGUGAGCUCGCGGCCUAUCAGCUUGUUGGUGGGGUAAUGGCCUACCAAGGCGUCGACGGGUAGCCGGCCUGAGAGGGUGGACGGCCACAUUGGGACUGAGAUACGGCCCAGACGCCUACGGGAGGCAGCAGUGGGGAAGAGUGAACAAUGGGCGCAAGCCUGAUGCAGCGACGCCGCGUGGGGGAUGACGGCCUUCGGGUUGUAAACUCCUUUCAGCCAUGACGAAGCCCUUGUGGUGACGGUAGUGGUAGAAGAAGCACCGGCUAACUACGUG